Molecule: ribosomal RNA, 297 nt
Filed under: uncultured bacterium
Lineage: Bacteria
Description: partial 16S ribosomal RNA
Rfam family: Bacterial small subunit ribosomal RNA
Source: RNAcentral
CUUUUCCUACGGGGCGCAGCAGUGGGGGAUAUUGCACAAUGGGGGGAACCCUGAUGCAGCGACGCCGCGUGGGUGAAGGAGUGCUUCGGCAUGUAAAGCCCUAUCGGCAGGGAAGAAGUAAGACGGUACCUGACUAAGAAGCCCCGGCUAACUACGUGCCUGCAGCCGCGGUAAUACGUAGGGGGCGAGCGUUAUCCGGAUUCACUGGGUGUAAAGGGAGCGUAGACGGCCAUGCAAGCCCGGGGUGAAAGCCCGGGGCCCAACCCCGGGACUGCCCUUGGAACUGCAUGGCUGGAG